GGUAUAUGUAUAUGUAAGUUGCUCUGGAUAAGAGCAUCUGCUAAAUGACUAAAA
Salmo salar (Atlantic salmon) is the source of this 54-nucleotide non-coding RNA. NCBI's taxonomy places the organism in Eukaryota, Metazoa, Chordata, Actinopteri, Salmoniformes, Salmonidae. The record is from Rfam.